GCGGAUCUUAUAUCUUCACUUGGCAAACUCAACAAGAACGGAUGCUCUGCUCCUGAGACUGUCGCUGGUGGUUGGCAAAGAGGUGUUUUACACCGCCCUCUGGGGGAGCGUCCUGGCCAGCCCGUCCAUCCGCCUCCCUGCCUCAGUCUUCGUGGUGGGCCACAUCAACAGGGAUGCCCCCGGCCGGGAGCAGAAGUACAUGCUGGGGACCAAUCACCAACUCACGGUGAAGUCUUUGCGUGCCUCCCUGUUGGACUCAAAUGUUCUUGUGCAAAGAAAUAAUCUGGAAAUCGUUCUGUUUUUCUUCCCAUUUUAUACCUGUCUGGAUUCCAAUGAGAGAGCCAUCCCCCUCCUCAGAUCUGACAUCGUGCGCAUUCUCUCAGCUGCCACCCAGACCCUA
RNAcentral lists this small RNA (400 nucleotides) under Pan troglodytes (chimpanzee). RNAcentral's name for it is "processed transcript". The record is from RNAcentral. Lineage: Eukaryota; Metazoa; Chordata; Mammalia; Primates; Hominidae.